This 253-nucleotide ribosomal RNA is filed under the name uncultured bacterium. Its description in RNAcentral is "partial 16S ribosomal RNA". It matches the Rfam family "Bacterial small subunit ribosomal RNA", at positions 524 to 776 of the family's 1533-position model. The record is from RNAcentral.
UACGAAGGGGGCUAGCGUUGCUCGGAAUUACUGGGCGUAAAGGGCGCGUAGGCGGAUGUUUAAGUCGGGGGUGAAAGCCCGGGGCUCAACCUCGGAAUUGCCUUCGAUACUGGACAUCUUGAGUACGGGAGAGGUGAGUGGAACUCCGAGUGUAGAGGUGAAAUUCGUAGAUAUUCGGAAGAACACCAGUGGCGAAGGCGACUCACUGGCCCGUUACUGACGCUGAGGCGCGAAAGCGUGGGUAGCAAACAGG